CCGAGAUUGGAGCCUUCGCGCUCCGGCUGC
Molecule: small RNA, 30 nt
Filed under: Bombyx mori (domestic silkworm)
Lineage: Eukaryota; Metazoa; Arthropoda; Insecta; Lepidoptera; Bombycidae
Description: ovarian small RNA-13815
Source: RNAcentral